GAUCAGAGAGCUAGGAUCUCUGCUGCACAGUAGAGAGGCUUCCUUAAGAUAUUUGUCCUUGAAACUGCACCAAACUCUUGGAAGAACCCAGAACCUAGCUGGCAAUUUACUGGUUCAUCAACGAAACAAUAUUGAAUUAUGAAGAUGUAAGAAAAAUUCCUGUGCACACGUUGUUGAAGUUUAAAAGUUUUCUAGGGAGCCCUAUAAUAUUCAGAAGACGAUAGAGGAGACUCCCAGAGCUGAAAGGGUG
RNAcentral lists this long non-coding RNA (250 nucleotides) under Vombatus ursinus (common wombat). Its description in RNAcentral is "lncRNA (ENSVURG00010010378.1)". Lineage: Eukaryota; Metazoa; Chordata; Mammalia; Diprotodontia; Vombatidae. The record is from RNAcentral.